Molecule: transfer RNA, 73 nt
Filed under: Pteropus alecto (black flying fox)
Lineage: Eukaryota; Metazoa; Chordata; Mammalia; Chiroptera; Pteropodidae
Rfam family: tRNA
About the family: Transfer RNA (tRNA) molecules are approximately 80 nucleotides in length. Their secondary structure includes four short double-helical elements and three loops (D, anti-codon, and T loops). Further hydrogen bonds mediate the characteristic L-shaped molecular structure. tRNAs have two regions of fundamental functional importance: the anti-codon, which is responsible for specific mRNA codon recognition, and the 3' end, to which the tRNAs corresponding amino acid is attached (by aminoacyl-tRNA synthetases). tRNAs cope with the degeneracy of the genetic code in two manners: having more than one tRNA (with a specific anti-codon) for a particular amino acid; and 'wobble' base-pairing, i.e. permitting non-standard base-pairing at the 3rd anti-codon position.
Source: Rfam by way of RNAcentral
GGUUUCAUAGCGUAGCGGUUAGCACGUCUGCUUUACAUGCAGAAAGUCGUGGGUUCAUAUCCCAGUGGAGCCA